Vitis vinifera (wine grape) is the source of this 815-nucleotide long non-coding RNA. RefSeq lists it as uncharacterized. The transcript is spliced from 2 exons. The record is from RefSeq and is a predicted model, not a curated record. NCBI's taxonomy places the organism in Eukaryota, Viridiplantae, Streptophyta, Magnoliopsida, Vitales, Vitaceae.
GAUUGGUUCUGGUAUCAUUUUAUAAUGACCCAUUUCCUCUAAUAUGGAUGUCGGUCAUUAGAUUUAAUCAGAAAAAUUGACCUACUUGGUUUUGGUCAUUGAAGAUGUGUGGUGUCUCCCACACCAGAUCCAUUCUAAGUUUACGGACAAACUUGGCUUCCAGAUUGCCUAGAUACCUCGUCACACAUGUCUGCCACUUGACCACAUUCUCAUGGAACCUUAUAAACAAAAAUGUAAAAUCUACCAGUUGGUGGGUGAUGGGAGUGCUUUCCUUCUUAAUUAUAUGUAUCAUUCUCUCUUGCUUGGCUUCAUCAGCCCUCCUCUCUUCUCUCUAUAAAUCUGCCGACCCUGCCCAGUUGUUAUUCCCCCCCUUUCUCUUCUUCUCAGCCUUGGAGAUUGAAAACAACUCCAAAAGAAAUAGUUAAGUAAUAGGUACCCAGAACAGUUAGUGGUGUUGCAUGUGCUCUGGAAUCAGUGUGGUUGCUUUAUAUGAUAAAAACUGCACAACCCACCGCCCAUUACAAUCCGACUUCUACGUAUAAAAGCUGCCUCCUCUCUUUUCUCAGGCCUCUCCCUCAUUUUUCACUGAAUCCUUCUCAGUUUGAGAGAAUAAUCAAUGGGUGAAGAAGCUAAGGAACAAGCUCCAGCUGAAGUUAAACCAGAGGCAGAGGAGAAGGAGGAAAAAGCAGAGGAGAAGAAAGAAGAAAAACCAGAAGAGCAGAAGGAGGAACCUAAGCCACCAUUACCAUUUGUCUUGUUUGUAGAUUUGCAUUGUGUGGGAUGUGCCAAGAAGAUAGAGAGGUCCCUCAUGAAAA